This is a small nuclear RNA of Loxodonta africana (African savanna elephant), 106 nucleotides long. The record is from Ensembl. NCBI's taxonomy places the organism in Eukaryota, Metazoa, Chordata, Mammalia, Proboscidea, Elephantidae.
GUGCUCACUUCAGCAGCACAUAUACUAAAAUGGGAACAAAACAGAAGGUUAGCAUGGUCCCUGUGUAAGGAUGACACACAAAAUUUAUGAAGUGUUCCAUUUAAAA